This 216-nucleotide ribosomal RNA is filed under the name Glomeromycotina sp. RNAcentral describes it as "partial small subunit ribosomal RNA". The stretch from base 40 to 216 matches the Rfam family "Eukaryotic small subunit ribosomal RNA", at positions 686 to 864 of the family's 1831-position model. Lineage: Eukaryota; Fungi; Glomeromycota. The record is from RNAcentral.
GGGUCAGUAGGUUGGUCGUGCCACCGGUACGUACUGGUCUCACUGAUUCCUCCUUCCUGAAGAACCGUAAUGCCAUUAAUUUGGUGUUGCGGGGAAACAGGACUGUUGCUUUGAAAAAAUUAGAGUGUUUAAAGCAAGCUAACGCUUGAAUACAUUAGCAUGGAGUAAUGAAAUAGGACGAUCGAUCCUAUUUUGUUGGUUUCUAGGAUUGACGUA